AGAAUCAACGCUGGCGGCGUGCCUAACACAUGCAAGUCGAACGAGAAAGUGGAGCAAUCCAUGAGUAAAGUGGCGACCGGGUGAGUAACACGUGACUAACCUACCUUCGAGUGGGGGAUAACAUCGGGAAACCGAUGCUAAUACCGCAUAAUAUCGCAAGAUCAAAGCAGCAAUGCGCUGGAAGAGGGGGCCGCGGCUGAUUAGCUAGUUGGCGGGGUAACGGCCCACCAAGGCGAAGAUCGGUA
RNAcentral lists this ribosomal RNA (245 nucleotides) under uncultured bacterium. RNAcentral describes it as "partial small subunit ribosomal RNA". It matches the Rfam family "Bacterial small subunit ribosomal RNA", at positions 26 to 285 of the family's 1533-position model. The record is from RNAcentral.